AGUGAACGCUGGCGGUAGGCCUAACACAUGCAAGUCGAACGGCAGCUCAGUAAGAGCUUGCUCUUACGGGUGGCGAGUGGCGGACGGGUGAGGAAUACAUCGGAAUCUACUUUUUCGUGGGGGAUAACGUAGGGAAACUUACGCUAAUACCGCAUACGACCUACGGGUGAAAGCAGGGGAUCUUCGGACCUUGCGCGAUUGAAUGAGCCGAUGUCGGAUUAGCUAGUUGGCGGGGUAAAGGCCCACCAAGGCGACGAUCCGUAGCUGGUCUGAGAGGAUGAUCAGCCACACUGGAACUGAGACACGGUCCAGACUCCUAUGGGAGGCAGCAGUGGGGAAUAUUGGACAAUGGGCGCAAGCCUGAUCCAGCCAUACCGCGUGAGUGAAGAAGGCCUUCGGGUUGUAAAGCCCUUUUGUUGGGAAAGAAAAGCAGCAGGUUAAUACCCCGCUGUUCUGACGGUACCCAAAGAAUAAGCACCGGCUAACUUCGUG
RNAcentral lists this ribosomal RNA (492 nucleotides) under uncultured bacterium. RNAcentral's name for it is "partial 16S ribosomal RNA". It matches the Rfam family "Bacterial small subunit ribosomal RNA", at positions 29 to 507 of the family's 1533-position model. The record is from RNAcentral.